AGCGACGUGAAUUGAUUAUCUUGGCUUAGGAUCAUGUGCCGCAAGGCGUGCGGGUUCGAGUCCCGCCUUCCCCACCA
RNAcentral lists this transfer RNA (77 nucleotides) under Chloroflexota bacterium. Its description in RNAcentral is "Chloroflexi bacterium tRNA-OTHER". Lineage: Bacteria; Bacillati; Chloroflexota. The record is from RNAcentral.